UCCAAAUUUCCUACAAUUAGAAACUCUACUCCAUCUCCUUCUACCCCUUGCAAUUUGCAAACCCUAACCCCAAAAUCAAUUUGUCCUUAUAGUUGUUGGCGAAUACCCAAUUCCGAUUUUUGUUCAAUCUCCGAUACCCACUUGUAAUCUUGACUAAAGAUUCGAUCUUUGGGGAUCAAUUUUUUCUCUGAGAAAAGAAGACGAAUAAAGGAAUUAGGGUUUAGGAGUUAGAGGAGGAGGAAGAUGGUGAUCACAAUUGAAGAUUUGAGGAAAAAUGAGACCUGGCUUUGUGGGUCUUUCUUGAAAAUGGUUGAUGAUGUGAAAGCCAUGGCCACCGACCCAUCUGAGCAACAAGUGCUUCUGACCCAGAUGGUUUUGAAGGAGUUGAUGAUGAAUAGGAACAAACCAGAAGCAGCAUUCUCACUUGGUUUUCCCAAAAAGAAGAGAUCUGAAUCUAGAGGGAUGGUUUUGAAGGAGUUGAUGAUGAAUAGGAACAAACCAGAAGCAUUCUCACUUGGUUUUCCCAAAAAGAAGAGAUCUGGAUCUAGGGGGAUGCAAAAGCAGAAUCAGAAUCAGAAGCAGAGGAUCAUCAUCAAAUUCAAACGCUGCGUCUCUGCCACUACAGGUAUUGCUUCUUAUUCUUGCUCUGUUUCCCCUGAUUCUGGUAUUGUUGUAAACCCAGACCCACUUCAUGAUGAUCAGAAACAGGAUUUGAAAUUGAAAUUGAAAUUGAAGAGCAAGAAGAGGUGCUACUCUGAAAUCGAACAAGCAGGCGAUGCAGGUUUCGAAGACAUAAACUCGAAGAGGCUGAGAAAGGGAAAGAAUGAUAAGAGGGUGUUACCAAGUGCGCAAUCGAUGACUGAGUAUUUUCCAAAGGAAGAGUUGCAGGAUCGUAUUCGUGGAUCAGAACACCCAAAGCCAAGUGCAAGAGCAAUAGCAAUAGCAGGGAAGAGGAAUGAGAUCAAGAUCAGUAUGACCAGCUUUGCUUUGUCCUUGUUAAUCUGCUUUCUUCUUGCAGUUUAUGUUCAACAGUAAUUCAGUGAACAACUUUCAUUUUUCCGGUAUGGUUUUUGUAAUUUUAAUACUUUCUCUAUUUCCCCAAAGCUCAGAUAUCGCAUAUCUUCAUUCUCUUUCUCUCAGAUCAUUCAGUAUGCUCUUUGAGUUUGGGGGAUGCAUCCAAUUUCUUCUUAUGUUUACCUGGUCAUGUUAACUGUAUAAAAGUUUGACAUUGGUUCCCUGGUGGUUUCUGAACUUAUGCUCGUGCUUUAGUGAGGCUUGGAUGAUCUGUUUGAAAAAGUGAAACUAUCCUCUUUGUAACUUUCAACUCGAGUAAUAUCUGAAUAAAGUACUUGUACUUCUCCAACAGUCCAUCUUCUUGAGUUUUUUAUUGCAUAUCUUGUUUUAUCCCGGCCAUAUAUAAAUGAGUAAACUUGACUAUUUUUCGCUGGGGGUUUAUACUUUGUACUAGUAAACAUUUGUAAAUCUAAUUUCUGGCGAUAUUGUUGUUAUAUUAAAUUGC
RNA transcript from Rosa chinensis, 1519 nucleotides. RefSeq lists it as uncharacterized. Lineage: Eukaryota; Viridiplantae; Streptophyta; Magnoliopsida; Rosales; Rosaceae. The record is from RefSeq and is a predicted model, not a curated record. The transcript has 5 exons.